UACGGGGGGGGCAAGCGUUGUUCGGAAUUACUGGGCGUAAAGGGCUCGUAGGUGGCCAACUAAGUCAGACGUGAAAUCCCCAGGCUUAACCUGGGAACUGCGUCUGAUACUGGAUGGCUUGAAUUCGGGAGAGGGAUGCAGAAUUCCAGGUGUAGCGGUGAAAUGCGUAGAUAUGGAGGAAUACCGGUGGCGAAGGCGGCAUCCUGGACCGAUAUUGACACUGAUGAGCGAAAGCCAGGGGAGCAAACGGG
RNAcentral lists this ribosomal RNA (251 nucleotides) under uncultured bacterium. RNAcentral describes it as "partial 16S ribosomal RNA". It matches the Rfam family "Bacterial small subunit ribosomal RNA", at positions 524 to 776 of the family's 1533-position model. The record is from RNAcentral.